GAGCACGUAGGUGGGUUUGUAAGUCGGUUGUGAAAGCCUUCCGCUUAACGGAAGAAUGGCGGUCGAAACUGCAUGGCUUGAGUGCGGGAGGGGAGAGUGGAACUUCUGGUGGAGCGGUGAAAUGCGUAGAUAUCAGAAGGAACGUCGGCGGCGAAAGCGACUCUCUAGACCGUAACUGACGCUGAGUGUGCGAAAGCUAGGGGAGCAAACGGGAUUAGAUACCCCGGUAGUCCUAGCCGUAAACGAUGGGCACUAAGUAGAGGGGUUUU
Molecule: ribosomal RNA, 269 nt
Filed under: uncultured anaerobic ammonium-oxidizing bacterium
Lineage: Bacteria
Description: partial 16S ribosomal RNA
Rfam family: Bacterial small subunit ribosomal RNA
Source: RNAcentral